ACGGAAGGCAGCAGUCGGGAAUAUUGCGCAAUGGAGGAAACUCUGACGCAGUGACGCCGCGUGCAGGAAGAAGGUUUUCGAAUUGUAAACUGCUUUAGACCGGGAAGAAAAGGACAGUACCUGUAGAAUAAGCUCCGGCUAACUACGUGCCAGCAGCCGCGGUAAUACGUAGGGAGCGAGCGUUAUCCGGAUUUAUUGGGUGUAAAGAGUGCGUAGACGGAAUAGCAAGUUAGUUGUGAAAUCCCUUGGCUCAACUGAGGAACUGCAACUAAAACUACUACCCUUGAGUGCUGGAGGGGAAAGUGGAGUUCCUAGUGUAGCAGUGAAAUGCGUAGAUAUUAGGAGGAACACCGGUGGCGAAGGCGACUUUCUGGACAGUAACUGACGUUGAGGCACGAAAGUGUGGGGAGCAAACAGGAUUAGAUACCCUGGUA
This 434-nucleotide ribosomal RNA is filed under the name uncultured Oscillospiraceae bacterium. Its description in RNAcentral is "partial 16S ribosomal RNA". It matches the Rfam family "Bacterial small subunit ribosomal RNA", at positions 341 to 792 of the family's 1533-position model. Lineage: Bacteria; Bacillati; Bacillota; Clostridia; Eubacteriales; Oscillospiraceae. The record is from RNAcentral.